GUGAGUCAUGUUUGCCUAUGGAGGCUGGAACAGGAAAGACACCCACAGGGCAAGGGGAGCAAUGCAGGGGUGGGCGGGCAGCAUGCAGACCUGCUGAUUAAAACUUCACCUCAAGUGAGCUCAUUUGGGCUGAACUGGACUCCGGUCCACGGAAGAUACCACCCACGUUCAGGACGAGUAUCCUUCCUCAGCUGUGGGAGGUGUUCGUCAUCGGUGCCCCGCCCACUCUACACACGAGGAUCUGAGGGUUCCAGACUCCCAAACACACGUGCUAACAUGACGAAGCUGCAGCCUGGGAAGCAGGCUUUCUUCCCAAGUCCACGGUGAACAAGAGGCAGACCUUCUCCGUCCUCGUCCACAUGCUACACAACUGCACACUGGAGGAGCCCAGUAAGCGCCAAAGGCAAGUCAGCUCUCAGAUGGAGAAACGGCCCUUGAACAGUUGGCAGUACACCAAGAAGAAGGUGUGUGGUUUGGAUAUUGAGUUGUCCUAUCUACAUCAUGUAGCUAGCUCUCAUUGAGCAGUGCCAACCAAG
RNAcentral lists this long non-coding RNA (536 nucleotides) under Cricetulus griseus (Chinese hamster). Its description in RNAcentral is "lncRNA (ENSCGRG00015041862.1)". Lineage: Eukaryota; Metazoa; Chordata; Mammalia; Rodentia; Cricetidae. The record is from RNAcentral.